RNAcentral lists this ribosomal RNA (497 nucleotides) under uncultured bacterium. RNAcentral describes it as "bacterial SSU rRNA". It matches the Rfam family "Bacterial small subunit ribosomal RNA", at positions 8 to 507 of the family's 1533-position model. The record is from RNAcentral.
AGAGUUUGGAUCAUGGCUCAGGACGAACGCUGGCGGCGUGCUUAACACAUGCAAGUCGAGCGGAAAGGCGUCCUUCGGGGGUACUCGAGCGGCGAACGGGUGAGUAACACGUGAGUAAUCUGCCCUUGGCUUUGGGAUAACUACCGGAAACGGUGGCUAAUACCGGAUACGACCACUCCUUGCAGGAGGUGGUGGUGGAAAGUUUUUUCGGCCAGGGAUGUGCUCGCGGCCUAUCAGCUUGUUGGUGGGGUAAAUGGCCUACCAAGGCUUCGACGGGUAGCCGGCCUGAGAGGGUGACCGGCCACACUGGGACUGAGACACGGCCCAGACUCCUACGGGAGGCAGCAGUGGGGAAUAUUGGACAAUGGGCGGAAGCCUGAUCCAGCAACGCCGCGUGAGGGAUGACGGCCUUCGGGUUGUAAACCUCUUUCAGUACCGACGAAGCGCCGAUGAUGGUGGUGACGGUAGGUACAGAAGAAGCACCGGCCAACUACGUG